This 64-nucleotide transfer RNA is filed under the name Anatkina vespertinula. Its description in RNAcentral is "tRNA-His". The record is from RNAcentral. Lineage: Eukaryota; Metazoa; Arthropoda; Insecta; Hemiptera; Cicadellidae.
AUUUAAGUAUUUUAAUUAAAAUAAGGAUUUGUGGUUUCCUAGAUAAAUAUGUAUUUCUUAAAUA